Molecule: ribosomal RNA, 253 nt
Filed under: uncultured bacterium
Lineage: Bacteria
Description: partial 16S ribosomal RNA
Rfam family: Bacterial small subunit ribosomal RNA
Source: RNAcentral
UACGUAGGUGGCAAGCGUUGUCCGGAAUUAUUGGGCGUAAAGCGCGCGCAGGUGGUUUCUUAAGUCUGAUGUGAAAGCCCACGGCUCAACCGUGGAGGGUCAUUGGAAACUGGGGAACUUGAGUGCAGAAGAGGAAAGUGGAAUUCCAAGUGUAGCGGUGAAAUGCGUAGAGAUUUGGAGGAACACCAGUGGCGAAGGCGACUUUCUGGUCUGUAACUGACACUGAGGCGCGAAAGCGUGGGGAGCGAACGGG